AGCUGAAGGCCUCCUUUAAGAGAAACCGCUUCUACGGAAUCCGAGUUGGAUCCAGUUGGGUCAGGAUUCGCAAAGUCUAAUAGUAGCAACCUUAAACUAGGGGCCUUGGUGGAAAUUUCGGAUACGGAAGCUGUUUCAUUUCUGGAGGACUGAUGGUGGCCUUCAAAUCUUAGCGCAUAGGUAGUUAAAUAUAGCGAAGAAAACACUAUGAGAAUAGAGUGAGGGAAGAACCGGAGGCGGCAAGUACGGAAGCUCCAUUCGGUGGGAUUUGGAGUUUGGAGACUGGGGGGAGGAACCAGGCUCGAGGGCCAUGCAUUGCUGAAACCGUGGUUAUCUCUUUAACGAACGGGACGGCACACACGCGGCUCUUGUCCCCUCAUCCCCGCAGCUUUUCCAUUCUUAGACGUCAGCGGGCGAUCGCAUCGGGGUGUUCUCUAUUUUCUGGGAUGUAAUUAUUUUAGGUCCCCUGUUGAGGGAUCUAUUUGCACGCCUUACCUGUCCUCCUCUAGGUCUAAGUCCCUUUAGAAGGCUGGAGCCAGGUUCAUAUUUACUUCCCACAAAGUGUAGCCCAGAAAUAAAGUUCUUAAAUGCUUUUUGAAUGAAUGAAUGAAUGAGGAAUCCCUAGUAACGAGAAAAGCUUUCAGUUACCACCCAUACAAAUAGGGUAAACAAACAAACAAUACCCCUUGAGAAUGAAAACUCGAAGACUAGAUUUGGGGAGAGUAAGCAGGGAAACCUAUAUACCAACAUGGCUACGUGCACGGACUCCAGAUCCCUAGUUCCGAAGGGCGUUAAAAAGCAAAUACCUCAUCAGAUAAAUGGGGGUUUAUACCAGUUUCUUUGCCUCAGAUCCUCUAGGGGCCUUUAAUACAUCGUUGCGCGUUGGGACUUACCAGUAAGAGGAGGGAGUUAGGCUACCCUUCCUAGUGUUUCCUGAAUUAUUUUUUCGUGUCAUUAUUUCAGAUCACUUGGUUGGUGUUUGAUGAAUGAGCUUUGCUGCUCGCUGCACUGUGUUCACGUAACUCAUUGGGAACACCCUCCAGGACUGCUGUUCUCAUAUUCGGUGGCCCUUCUUACUCCACAUUCACACUGUCUCCGAGGUACUUGUAACUGGUACAAAGUCAAAAGUCUCAGCCUUGAGGGAAUUCUGACAGCUGGAUAAAAUGCUGAAAGGUGGAAGAAAGUCUUUACCCAUGUAUCAUACUGUGUGUGUAGAACAAAGUACCAUACUACACUCCAGGAUCUUUGGUAUAUGAUCCUUCUUCCUGUUCUUCAAAACAAAGUUAUUCUCCUCAAUUUCACUUCCAAACACUUAAUAAAAGGGAAAAGGACAGCAUCCACGUUUCCCUGCUACAUUGACAUGGUUGCUCUGGGGACCACCCCCACCUUUGCAAGUAUCCCUUGAAGAGUUUAGUGUGUUUGUCUACUCUGUGUGCCUGCGGUGGACAUCAAUACUGCUAUAAACAGAGGAGAGUUCCUGGCUCAGUGAAGCAAA
Long non-coding RNA from Phyllostomus discolor (pale spear-nosed bat), 1495 nucleotides. RefSeq lists it as uncharacterized. Lineage: Eukaryota; Metazoa; Chordata; Mammalia; Chiroptera; Phyllostomidae. The record is from RefSeq and is a predicted model, not a curated record. The transcript is spliced from 2 exons.